CAGUAGCCGCGGUAAUACGAAGGGUGCAAGCGUUAAUCGGAAUUACUGGGCGUAAAGCGUGCGUAGGCGGUGAGUUAAGUCUGCUGUGAAAUCCCCGGGCUCAACCUGGGAAUGGCAGUGGAUACUGGCUCGCUAGAGUGUGUCAGAGGAUGGUGGAAUUCCCGGUGUAGAGGUGAAAUUCGUAGAUAUUGGGAAGAACACCGGUGGCGAAGGCGGCAACCUGGUCCUUUACUGACGCUGAGGCGCGAAAGCGUGUGGAGCAAACAGGAUUAGAGACCCCUGUAGUCCCUGUCUCUUAUAA
This 301-nucleotide ribosomal RNA is filed under the name uncultured bacterium. Its description in RNAcentral is "partial 16S ribosomal RNA". It matches the Rfam family "Bacterial small subunit ribosomal RNA", at positions 509 to 809 of the family's 1533-position model. The record is from RNAcentral.